This 436-nucleotide ribosomal RNA is filed under the name uncultured bacterium. Its description in RNAcentral is "bacterial SSU rRNA". It matches the Rfam family "Bacterial small subunit ribosomal RNA", at positions 29 to 507 of the family's 1533-position model. The record is from RNAcentral.
AACGAACGCUGGCGGCAGGCUUAACACAUGCAAGUCGAACGCCCCGCAAGGGGAGGUGGCAGACGGGUGGAGUAACGCGUGGGAACGGUACCUUUCUAGUUCGGAAUAACUCAGGGAAACUUGUGCUAAUACCGGAUACGCCCGCAAGGGGAAAGAUUUAUCGCUGAAAGAUCGGCCCGCGUUGGAUUAGCUAGUUGGUGGGGUAAAGGCCUACCAAGGCGACGAUCCAUAGCUGGUCUGAGAGGAUGAUCAGCCACACUGGGACUGAGAUACGGCCCAGACUCCUACGGGAGGCAGCAGUGGGGAAUAUUGGACAAUGGGCGCAAGCCUGAUCCAGCCAUGCCGCGUGUGUGAUGAAGACCUUAGGGUUGUAAAGCACUUUCUACCGAUGAAGAUAAUGACGGUAGUCGGAGAAGAAGCCCCGGCUAACUUCGUG